This is a long non-coding RNA of Mesocricetus auratus (golden hamster), 628 nucleotides long. RefSeq lists it as uncharacterized. The record is from RefSeq and is a predicted model, not a curated record. NCBI's taxonomy places the organism in Eukaryota, Metazoa, Chordata, Mammalia, Rodentia, Cricetidae. The transcript is spliced from 2 exons.
GCGCGGGGCUGAGGGCCCCAUUCUGCAGGUGGAAAAGCUGAAGCUCAACAAAGUUGGCUGCUGAGACGUGACAAGGACACGACUCUGAGGCGGAGCCAGGCAGAACUAGAAGCAGUGUACUGGUUAGCUUCUGUGCACCGCGCUUUAAGGCUCAGGACCAUCACAUAGUCGUCUUUCCAAAUGUACAGCUGUCAUGACUGCUCUGACAUAAGGAUAUCAGGACAAGAAUCUUGUAAAAAUAUACAAGCAGGAGAGCCAUCUGUUGUGUUAUAUUGUCCCAUCAUUUCCUCCAAUUAUUAAAACAAGAUUGGGCUGUGGCGCUGCCCCUCCUGGUGAUUGACAGCAUUCCCAGAGAACGUGUGCGCACACAUUCCUGAGCCAGCAGGGUGAGCAGGGAUCUACUGAUGAAAAAAAAAAAACUACAUCUAGCUUGAGCUGUUGGAAAAUAUUAUCUGGCAUCUUCUCGUGAUAGAAUAAUUUUUAAGUUGAAAGGGAGUCAAGUAUCUAAAAACAUUUUUAGCUAGCCAUCCAGCUGGCUUUUCUCCUCCAAUUUUACACUUUAAAAAAUAACUUUAAUGUAACGUUGGCAUGAUUUAUAUUUGCUCAUAAUAAAAACCAACGAAAUCUC